GUUUGAUCAUGGCUCAGAUAGAACGCUGGCGGCAUGCUUAACACAUGCAAGUCGAACGGAAACAGGCCUUCGGGCGCUGACGAGUGGCGGACGGGUGAGUAACGUGUGGGAAUCUGCCUAUUAGUGGGGGAUAACUUAGGGAAACUUAAGCUAAUACCGCAUGUGGUCUACGGACUAAAGCAGGGGAUCUUCGGACCUUGUGCUAAUAGAUGAGCCCGCGUUGGAUUAUCUAGUUGGUAGGGUAAAGGCCUACCAAGGCGACGAUCCAUAGCUGUUCUGAGAGGAAGAUCAGCCACACUGGGACUGACACACGGCCCGACUCCUACGGGAGGCAGCAGUGGGGAAUAUUGGACAAUGGGGGCAACCCUGAUCCAGCAAUGCCCCGUGUGUGAAGAAGGCCUGCGGGUUGUAAAGCACUUUCGGUUGGGAGGAAAAGCCUAUGGCUAACAUCCAUGGGUCUUGACGUAACCAACAUAAGAAGCACCGGCUAACUCCGUGCCAGCAGCCGCGGUAAUACGGAGGGUGCGAGCGUUUAUCGGAAUUACUGGGCGUAAAGCGUGCGUAUGCGGAUGCUUGAGUCGGAUGUGAAAGCCCCGGGCUUAACCUGGGAAUUGCAUCCGAUACUGGGCAUCUAUAGUGUGGUACAGGGGGGUAGAAUUCCUGAUGUAACGUCGAGAUGCAUAGAUAUCAUGAGGAAUACCGGUGGCGAACGCGACCGGCUGGAGCAACACUGACGCUGAAGUACGACAGCGUGGGUAGCAAACACGAUUAGAUACCCUGGUAGUCCACGCCGUAAACCAUGUCAACUAAUCGUGGGGUCUUCUGAUCUUGGUGGCGCAGCUAACGCGUGAGCUAGACCGUCUGGGGAGUACGGCCGC
Molecule: ribosomal RNA, 878 nt
Filed under: uncultured bacterium
Lineage: Bacteria
Description: bacterial SSU rRNA
Rfam family: Bacterial small subunit ribosomal RNA
Source: RNAcentral